GGUUAAGUUAAUAAGGGCGCACGGUGGAUGCCUUGGCACUAGGAGCCGAAGAAGGACGUGACAAACGACGAUAUGCCUUGGGUAGCUGUAAGUAAGCGAUGAUCCAGGGAUUUCCGAAUGGGGGAACCCAACAGGUACUACCUGUUACCCACAUCUGUUAAGGAUGUGAGGAGGAAGACGCAGUGAACUGAAACAUCUAAGUAGCUGCAGGAAGAGAAAGCAAAAGCGAUUGCCUUAGUAGCGGCGAGCGAAACGGCAGGAGGGCAAACCGAAGAGUUUACUCUUCGGGGUUGUAGGACUGCAAUGUGGACUCAAAGAUUAUAGAAGAAUGAUUUGGGAAGAUCAGCCAAAGAGAGUAAUAGCCUCGUAUUUAAAAUAGUCUUUGUACCUAGCAGUAUCCUGAGUACGGCGGGACACGUGAAAUCCCGUCGGAAUCUGGGAGGACCAUCUCCCAACCCUAAAUACUCCCUAGUGACCGAUAGUGAACCAGUACCGUGAGGGAAAGGUGAAAAGCACCCCGGGAGGGGAGUGAAAUAGAACCUGAAACCGUGUGCCUACAACAAGUUCGAGCCCGUUAAUGGGUGAGAGCGUGCCUUUUGUAGAAUGAACCGGCGAGUUACGUUAUGAUGCGAGGUUAAGUUGAAGAGACGGAGCCGUAGGGAAACCGAGUCUGAAUAGGGCGGAUUAGUAUCAUGACGUAGACCCGAAACCAUGUGACCUACCCAUGAGCAGGUUGAAGGUGCGGUAAGACGCACUGGAGGACCGAACCAGGGCACGUUGAAAAGUGCUUGGAUGACUUGUGGGUAGCGGAGAAAUUCCAAACGAACUUGGAGAUAGCUGGUUCUCUCCGAAAUAGCUUUAGGGCUAGCGUCGACAUUAGAGAUUCUUGGAGGUAGAGCACUGUUUGGGUGAGGGGUCCAUCCCGGAUUACCAAUCUCAGAUAAACUCCGAAUGCCAAUGAAUUAUGGUCGGCAGUCAGACUGCGAGUGCUAAGAUCCGUAGUCGAAAGGGAAACAGCCCAGACCACCAGCUAAGGUCCCAAAAUAAUUGUUAAGUGGAAAAGGAUGUGGGGUUGCACAGACAACUAGGAUGUUAGCUUAGAAGCAGCUAUUCAUUCAAAGAGUGCGUAAUAGCUCACUAGUCGAGUGACCCUGCGCCGAAAAUGUACCGGGGCUAAAACAAUUUACCGAAGCUGUGGAUACCUUUAUAGGUAUGGUAGGAGAGCGUUCUAUGUGUGAAGAAGGUGUACCGUGAGGAGUGCUGGAACGCAUAGAAGUGAGAAUGCCGGUAUGAGUAGCGAAAGACAGGUGAGAAUCCUGUCCACCGUAAGACUAAGGUUUCCAGGGGAAGGCUCGUCCGCCCUGGGUUAGUCGGGACCUAAGGAGAGACCGAAAGGUGUAUCCGAUGGACAACAGGUUGAUAUUCCUGUACUAGAGUAUGUAGUGAUGGAGGGACGCAGUAGGCUAACUAAAGCAGACGAUUGGAAGUGUCUGUCUAAGCAGUGAGGUGUGAUAUGAGUCAAAUGCUUAUAUCU
This 1534-nucleotide ribosomal RNA is filed under the name Streptococcus mitis. RNAcentral describes it as "partial 23S ribosomal RNA". It matches the Rfam family "Bacterial large subunit ribosomal RNA", at positions 1 to 1551 of the family's 2925-position model. Lineage: Bacteria; Bacillati; Bacillota; Bacilli; Lactobacillales; Streptococcaceae. The record is from RNAcentral.